Molecule: small RNA, 45 nt
Filed under: Acidobacteriia bacterium SbA2
Lineage: Bacteria; Pseudomonadati; Acidobacteriota; Terriglobia
Description: Solibacteres bacterium SbA2 Acido-Lenti-1
Rfam family: Acido-Lenti-1 RNA
Source: RNAcentral
CCCAGGGCGUUGCCCUGGGCUGCGUUAUUUCGCCCCUUUGGGGCU